UUUCACCCAAUGCCUUUGAGGACAGACUUCAAUCAAAAUCCGCGUGCCAUUGUUGCUCAUCCUUUGAUCAAACUCCCCUUGCCGGACAGGCAGACCCAAUCACCUGCUUGUAAUUAGUCUUUUGUUGUUGUUUACAGCCUGAAGCAGUGAUGGAGCACCUGGUGAGGGAUGUGGCCAGCCCUGCCAGCACAGGUGGAAGCAAUUUGCCUGUGGGACCGGAUAGGGCUGAGCUUGGCUCCACCCCCUCCCUGCCCAUAUUUAAGGGCUGGGAACAGCAAGGGCAGCAUUCAGCUUGGGAUCUGCCUCCAUGGGAGCAUUGGGAGCCAGUUCUGCUCGUUGGAAUGGGGUGAGUGACUGAUGCUUUGUUGCAGGGCUCUGGUCUUUCUGUUUUUGGGGAUCCUGACUGCUUUUAAGGGCUGGAAGCUGUAAGGGCAGCAUCUCUGUAUGGAGGCUGCUUCCUUUGGGGUGUGGGCUGAGUGUUUGUUUUUGGGAUGGGGUCAUUGGUUUCUUCUGUAUUGCUGGAUUGUAAUUUCACUUUCUGGGGGCUCCUGACCACAUUUAAGGUCUGUCAGCAGAAGGAGCAGCAACUGCACCUGGAGGCUGCUUCCUUUAGAGCAUGGGGUGAACCCUUGAAACGGGGUGAGUGAGUCUUUAUUCCAGGGUUGCAACAUCUUGUUUUUUGGGGGAUCCUGACCCCGCUUAAGGGCUGGCAGCCUUUAAGGUGGUAUCUGUCUUUAGAGACUGUCUCCUUGGGAGUGUGGGGUGAGGGCCGGUCCUUGAGAAAGAAUGAGUGAUUUCUUCUUGUUUUAGGGCUGUGAUCUUUCCUGUUUUGGGGGCAUCCUGACCGCAUUUAAGUGCUGACAGAUGUAAGGGUAACGUUGAUCUCUGGAGGCUGUCUCCUGUGGAGCAUGGCUCUGGUUCCCAACAGCGUGAUGAAGUGAAGCCCCUGCUCUGCUGAAUACUGGGACUGGCCCAGAGAGGCUCUGAUGGAUGUGGAUUAUCCCAGCUGGAGUACUUGGUACCAUUGGUGGUGAUCUCAUCCAACUGCCACACAACAAACAGGAACAUCCACAGCCAGAUCAGUGCCCAGAGCCUGACCCAGCGUCACCUUGGAAGGGACAGGGCAUCCAUCAUGUCUGGGUGUUGAAAGGCUGUUACCAGAUCACCUCGGAGCCUUCACUUCUGCAGGCUGAGCAGCUCCAGCUCUCUGUCUUUAUAGGAAAGGCGUUCCAUCCCUCGGUUCAUGUUUGUGGCCGUUCUAUGGAUGUGCUCCAACAGCUCCACAUCUGUCCUGCACUGUAGGCAUCCACAUCCAGACGCAGCACCUCCAGGUGAGGCCUCCCAGCGCAGAGCAGAGGGGCAGGACCGCCUCCCUUCGCCUGCUGACCGCACAUCUUUGGAUGGAACCCAGCAUACGGUUGGCUUUCUGGGCUGGAAGGCGCGUUGCUGAGUGCCACUACUCAGCCUGUUGAGGUCCCUCUGGAUGGCAUCCCGUCCCUCUGGUGUGUCACCGCACCCCACAGCUCGGUGUCAUUAGGGUGCACUCCACCCUACUGUCAAUGUCGCUGAUGAAGGGGCAAUUCCAGAUGUUUGUGCAAACUCAGCAAAGAACACCUUGAGAGCAGCCCCACAGAGAAGGAUUUGCAGAUCCUGGUGGGUGAGAAGCUGGACGUCAGCCAGCAGAGCGGGCUUGCAGCCUGGAAGGCCAGCUGUGUUCUGGGCUGCAUUAAAAGAGGAGCGGCCAGCAGGGAGAGGGAGGCGAUCGUCCC
Molecule: long non-coding RNA, 1769 nt
Organism: Tympanuchus pallidicinctus (lesser prairie-chicken)
Lineage: Eukaryota; Metazoa; Chordata; Aves; Galliformes; Phasianidae
Exons: 3
Source: RefSeq, a predicted model, not a curated record